UACGAAGGGGGCUAGCGUUGCUCGGAAUCACUGGGCGUGAAGCGCACGUAGGCGGAUUGUUAAGUCAGGGGUGAAAUCCUGGAGCUCAACUCCAGAACUGCCUUUGAUACUGGCGAUCUCGAGUCCGGGAGAGGUGAGUGGAACUGCGAGUGUAGAGGUGAAAUGCGUAGAUAUCUGCAGGAACACCCGUGGCGAAAGCGGCGCGCUGGACCACUACUGACGCUGAGGAACGAAAGCUAGGGGAGCAAACAGG
RNAcentral lists this ribosomal RNA (253 nucleotides) under uncultured bacterium. RNAcentral describes it as "partial 16S ribosomal RNA". It matches the Rfam family "Bacterial small subunit ribosomal RNA", at positions 524 to 776 of the family's 1533-position model. The record is from RNAcentral.